UGAAAACUUUUUAAUAGUGAAGAUUUUCAAUAUUGAAGAAUUUUUAAUACCAUACAAUGUUUAAAAUAUGUAGUUAUAGUUUGGUCAUUUCAUUUAGCGUGGAUCAAUGUAAAUUAGCACGAGAUUAUGCGAUGUAAGAGAAGAGGCGCUAUAAAAGUUUAUGCAUGAACAGAGAUAACCUUUGUUCAAAAACAAGAAAACCAUAUAUGUAUUUUUGACGUUUAUAGAAAAAAAUGUUUUUAUUAAUUCACAAGUUUUUAUCGGUUUUAAAAGCGUACAAGAGAAUGGAGAAGAAAAAGAAAGACUUGUACCCAUGCAUACAUCACCUUUAAGCGGAUAUGAAAGAACAUCAACCAAAUUGUCCUGAAAGUGUUACACAGAUACGCCAUUCGAAAUACUGAUAUGUAUAUAUAGUGUAGUUUUGUAAUUUUAGUAUAAUUUUUUCCAAACAAACAACUAAAAAUAAUCAUCUGUACCCAUUUAUACACCUACUCUGUAAAAUGUUUAAACGUCAAUUACAAUCGGUUUCGAAAGAUAAAUAUUUGAAGUUGACUGAAGAGGAGCAACAUAAGGCCCGAAACGUGUAAACAACUCGUAUCAACUAAAUGAACAAAUAAAAGGAUGAAAGGAUGCCUAGUGUUUGAUUAAUUGCACUUUUAUAGUGCUUACGAAACAAAAACAUGCUACGACACUGUUUCAAAUCGAUGAAAUUUUGAAUUUUUUUGCCAAUAUAUUUUUAUAAAUUGUAAUAUAUAUUAAUUCCACUAAAUGUUUUAUAUUUA
Long non-coding RNA from Centruroides sculpturatus (bark scorpion), 782 nucleotides. RefSeq lists it as uncharacterized. NCBI's taxonomy places the organism in Eukaryota, Metazoa, Arthropoda, Arachnida, Scorpiones, Buthidae. The record is from RefSeq and is a predicted model, not a curated record. The transcript has 3 exons.